GGUUUUGUGGCUCAGUGGUAGAGUGCUUGCCUAGUAUGUAUGAAGCACUGGGUUCGAUCCUCAGCACCA
RNAcentral lists this transfer RNA (69 nucleotides) under Marmota marmota marmota (Alpine marmot). It matches the Rfam family "tRNA". Rfam says of the family: Transfer RNA (tRNA) molecules are approximately 80 nucleotides in length. The record is from Rfam by way of RNAcentral. Lineage: Eukaryota; Metazoa; Chordata; Mammalia; Rodentia; Sciuridae. RNAcentral also lists the same sequence under 3 other names.